GAGUAACGCGUAGGCAACCUGCCCUCCGGCCGGGGACAACACUCCGAAAGGGGUGCUAAUACCGGAUACGAAGUCUGUGCCGCAUGGUACGGAUUUGAAAGAUGGCCUCUGUUUACAAGCUAUCGCCGGGGGAUGGGCCUGCGUCCGAUUAGCUGGUUGGUGGGGUAACGGCCUACCAAGGCGACGAUCGGUAGCCGGUCUGAGAGGAUGAACGGCCACAUUGGACUGAGACACGGCCCAGACUCCUACGGGAGGCAGCAGUGGGGAAUCUUCCGCAAGUGGGCGCAAGCCUGACGGAGCAACGCCGCGUGAGUAGGAGGAAGUUCUUCGGAACGUAAAGCUCUGUUGUUCCUGACGAACCUCCCUUCUAUCAACAACGGAGGGGACUGACGGUAGGGAACGAGGAAGCCACGGCUAACUACGUGCCAGCAGCAGC
RNAcentral lists this ribosomal RNA (436 nucleotides) under uncultured bacterium. Its description in RNAcentral is "bacterial SSU rRNA". It matches the Rfam family "Bacterial small subunit ribosomal RNA", at positions 108 to 518 of the family's 1533-position model. The record is from RNAcentral.